UAGAAAAACAGGACUUGAACCUGCCCUGCGGGAAUCAAAGCCCCUCGUGCUUCAGUACACUAUUCUCUA
This 69-nucleotide transfer RNA is filed under the name Typhlonectes compressicauda. Its description in RNAcentral is "tRNA-Gln". Lineage: Eukaryota; Metazoa; Chordata; Amphibia; Gymnophiona; Typhlonectidae. The record is from RNAcentral.